AAGGUACAACAGACAAUAGCUUGAAAGCUUUUCAAGAGGAAAGUCUGGGCUGCAGUGAAGCAUGGUUCCAUUUAAAGAAUGGCUAGGGUAACCUAAGGGACAGUGCAACAGAGAGUAAACCGCCAAUUUUAUUGGUAAGGGUGAAAGGGUGGGGUAAGAGCCUACCAGCACUUUAAGUAAUUUUAGUGGCUAUGUAAACCCAACCAGCAGCAAGAAGAGCUUGGUAAUAAGCUUCACGCUUAUGUUCUUCGCAAGAUUGCUUAAGUAAUUUAGCAACUAGAUAAAUUAUUGUCAAAAACAAAAUCCAGCUUACCGUUGUGCCUUAUUU
Molecule: RNase P RNA, 328 nt
Filed under: Arcobacter sp. CECT 8989
Lineage: Bacteria; Pseudomonadati; Campylobacterota; Epsilonproteobacteria; Campylobacterales; Arcobacteraceae
Also listed under: 1 other name
Description: RNase P RNA component class A
Rfam family: Bacterial RNase P class A
About the family: Ribonuclease P (RNase P) is a ubiquitous endoribonuclease, found in archaea, bacteria and eukarya as well as chloroplasts and mitochondria.
Source: RNAcentral